AAUCAAGUGAAGAAAUAACUCUUCUAAAAACGGUGGGAAAUGACUCAACUAAUACCAGUAGCCAAAUUUGUGAAGUAGCAUAUGCUCCCUUCUAGGAGAUAGCUGUCAUUUUUGGAACUUCUGAGUCUCUCUGUGCCAGUGGAAGAUGACUGAAGAAGACAGUUUAUGAGAUGGCCUAACACCCAAUAUAGAGGACUAGUGUUCUCAGGAACCAAUUACAAAUGGAUUUUCAUCAAUCUGAACUAUCAGUGUACAGCAGAGAGGAGAGAGAUUAAAGCAAGAAAUCAAGAAAGGAUGCUCAUGAAUAUCAAAGGAAGAAGCCCUGCUUCCCUGUCAGGUAACAAGCCUAAAAGCCUGGAGCAUCUUGGUUAAGAAGGACAACAAUAACUUCAAAGCACCUCAAGAGAGAGCAGAACACAUCGGUGAAGUAGGGAGAGGAGAUACCAUGCCCACGUUACAGAAGAAGAGCACAGACCUACAGAGGAGACUAAGUAAAACAGUUCUCAAGCCCAGGUCUUGUGACUUCAGCAGAGUUUGGCAGCUGAAAAUCCUGGACACUAAUUCACAUCCAAAUCUCUUGAAAUUCCUGAACCUGGACCAGGAAUCUGUUCAUGCUAAACUGCAUCUCUCCAUGGCCUACAGGGAAAUAUAUUGUCAAGAAGAAGGUGAUGGUUAAGGACAUUUACAGAAAAUGAUUCACACUAAAACAUGGCAAUUCUCUUAUUUCCUAAACCCAAGGCCCCUUCUCCUCUAAGGGUAGAAGUAGAAAUGUUUGGGAAAAGUCCAAAGUCCACUUCUCUCUUACCAUGGAAUGAGACAGAGAGGAGGGAGAUCCCUCCUGGUUUGAGUUCCCAUUCCGGGUAUUCUCUUAUAAGAAAAUAAGAAAGAGAUAAAGAGAGAGGAAACAGAAUAAGAAGUACAGAGAUGGAAAUGGAGUGAGAAAGAGUAGCACAGAAGGAGGGAGAGAUGAAGAGUUGAGAGGCACAGUGAGUUAGAGGAAAGCAAAAGAAGAGAGUAAGAAGAAAGUAGAGACAGAAAGAUGGAGAGAGGAAUGGAAGACAAGGAGAGAAAGAGAAAAAGGGAAUUAAAGAAAAAAGCUUUGUUUUCUGUUAGCGCUGUGAUCCUCACCUCUUUAAAACUGAGAUAAUGUGGGGCACCUGGGUGGCUCAGUCAGUUGAGCAUCUGGCUUCAGCUCAGGUCAUAAUCCUGAGGUUCAUGAAUUUGAGCCCUGUGUCAGGCUCU
Molecule: long non-coding RNA, 1242 nt
Organism: Leopardus geoffroyi (Geoffroy's cat)
Lineage: Eukaryota; Metazoa; Chordata; Mammalia; Carnivora; Felidae
Exons: 3
Source: RefSeq, a predicted model, not a curated record